Molecule: ribosomal RNA, 616 nt
Filed under: Fomitopsis pinicola
Lineage: Eukaryota; Fungi; Basidiomycota; Agaricomycetes; Polyporales; Fomitopsidaceae
Description: eukaryotic LSU rRNA
Rfam family: 5.8S ribosomal RNA (bases 222-375)
Source: RNAcentral
UAAUGAAUUCUGAAAGGGGUUGUAGCUGGCUGUUUCGUUUGAGCGGCAUGUGCACGCCCUGAUCAUUAUCCAUCUCACACACCUGUGCACAUACUGUAGGUCGGCUUUUGAUUGGAGUGGGGUCUUCAUCGACUCUGCUUUUUAGUUGGGGCCUUCCUAUGUUUUAUCACACACUACUUCAGUUUAAAGAAUGUCCUCUUGCGUCUAACGCAUUUAAAUACAACUUUCAGCAACGGAUCUCUUGGCUCUCGCAUCGAUGAAGAACGCAGCGAAAUGCGAUAAGUAAUGUGAAUUGCAGAAUUCAGUGAAUCAUCGAAUCUUUGAACGCACCUUGCGCUCCUUGGUAUUCCGAGGAGCAUGCCUGUUUGAGUGUCAUGGAAUUCUCAACUCUAUUUGCUUUUGUGAAUAGAGCUUGGACUUGGAGGUUUAUUGCCGGUACCUGUGAUCGGCUCCUCUUGAAUGCAUUAGCUCGAACCUUUUGUGGAUCAGCUUAUCGGUGUGAUAAAAUGUCUACGCCGUUACUGUGAAGCAUAUUAUUCGGCUUCCAAUCGUCCUUCACGGGACAAUAACUUUGACCUUUGACCUCAAAUCAGGUAGGAUUACCCGCUGAACUUAA